GAUGAACGCUGGCGGCGUGCCUAAUACAUGCAAGUCGAGCGAACAGACGAUGAGCUUGCUCCUCUGAUGUUAGCGGCGGACGGGUGAGUAACACGUUGAUAACCUACCUAUAAUACUAGGAUAACUUCAAGAAACCGGAGCUAGUACCGGAUAACAUGGCGAACCGCAUGGAUCAACAGUGAAAGAAGGUCUUGCUGUCACUUAUAGAUGGAUCCGCGCCGCAUUAGCUAGUUGGUAAGGUACCGGCUUACCAAGGCAACGAUGCGUAGCCGAGCUGAUAGGCUGAUCGGCCACACUGGAACUGAGACACGGUCCAGACUCCUACGGGAGGCAGCAGUAGGGAAUCAUGCACAAUGGGCGAAAGCCUGACGGAGCAACGCCGCGUGAGUGAAGAAGGUCUUCGGAUCUUAAAACUCUGUUAUUAGGGAAGAAGAAAUGUGUAAGUAACUAUGCACGUCUUGACGGUACCUAAACAGAAAGCCACGGCUAACUACGUG
Molecule: ribosomal RNA, 497 nt
Filed under: uncultured bacterium
Lineage: Bacteria
Description: partial 16S ribosomal RNA
Rfam family: Bacterial small subunit ribosomal RNA
Source: RNAcentral